GAUGAACGCUGGCGGCGUGCCUAAUACAUGCAAGUCGAGCGAACGGACGAGAAGCUUGCUUCUCUGAUGUUAGCGGCGGACGGGUGAGUAACACGUGGAUAACCUACCUAUAGACUGGGAUAACUUCGGGAAACCGGAGCUAAUACCGGAUAAUAUUUUGAACCGCAUGGUUCAAAAGUGAAAGACGGUCUUGCUGUCACUUAUAGAUGGAUCCGCGCUGCAUUAGCUAGUUGGUAAGGUAACGGCUUACCAAGGCAACGAUGCAUAGCCGACCUGAGAGGGUGAUCGGCCACACUGGAACUGAGACACGGUCCAGACUCCUACGGGAGGCAGCAGUAGGGAAUCUUCCGCAAUGGGCGAAAGCCUGACGGAGCAACGCCGCGUGAGUGAUGAAGGUCUUCGGAUCGUAAAACUCUGUUAUUAGGGAAGAACAUAUGUGUAAGUAACUGUGCACAUCUUGACGGUACCUAAUCAGAAAGCCACGGCUAACUACGU
Molecule: ribosomal RNA, 495 nt
Filed under: uncultured bacterium
Lineage: Bacteria
Description: partial 16S ribosomal RNA
Rfam family: Bacterial small subunit ribosomal RNA
Source: RNAcentral